RNAcentral lists this long non-coding RNA (241 nucleotides) under Mytilus galloprovincialis (Mediterranean mussel). Lineage: Eukaryota; Metazoa; Mollusca; Bivalvia; Mytilida; Mytilidae. The record is from RNAcentral.
UAGGGUAAGUAUAUUCUCUUCGACAUGUGGUACCAGCCGUGUUGCUUAUGCAUCAUGGAAGUAAAAUCCGGUAAUAAGUCUAAUUAAUUUAAUUGGUAGUUCAUAUUUGGUAAAGGGGACGGGAUUGUAGUCUUGACACUUAGAAAAUGUCCGCUAUCAUCUGUGAAAAGGACAUUGAUUCGAUAACGGUCAACCAACUAUUCAUGGUGUCUGUUUUUACGAAGGGAUGAUUUCAACGUCA